Molecule: ribosomal RNA, 433 nt
Filed under: uncultured bacterium
Lineage: Bacteria
Description: partial 16S ribosomal RNA
Rfam family: Bacterial small subunit ribosomal RNA
Source: RNAcentral
AACGAACGCUGGCGGCAUGCCUAACACAUGCAAGUCGAACGAGACCUUCGGGUCUAGUGGCGCACGUGUGCUUAACGCGUGGGAACCUGCCCUUAGGUUCCGAAUAACUCCCCUAGAGGGGUCCUAAUACCGGAUAAUCUCUUAGGACCAACGAGCUAUCGCCGUUGGAUGGGCGCGCGUUGGAUUAGCUAGUUGGUAGUGUAUUAGCAUAGCAAGGCGAGGAUGCUUAGCUGGUCUGGGACGAUGACUAGUCAGACUGGCACUGAGGCACGGCCCAGAAUCGGACGGAGGGCAGGAGAGGGGAAUAUUGGAGAAUGGGCGAAAGUCUGAUCACGCCACGCGGGGUAAGUGAGGAAGGGGUUAGGGUUGUAAAGUUGUUUUACACGGGAUGAGAAUGACAGUACCGGGAGAAUAAGCACCGGCUAACUACGUG